AUUGAACGCUGGCGGCAUGCCUUACACAUGCAAGUCGAACGGCAGCACGGGAGCAAUCCUGGUGGCGAGUGGCGAACGGGUGAGUAAUAUAUCGGAACGUGCCCAGUCGUGGGGGAUGACGUAGCGAAAGCUACGCUAAUACCGCAUACGAUCUACGGAUGAAAGCGGGGGAUCGCAAGACCUCGCCCGAUUGGAGCGGCCGAUAUCAGAUUAGGUAGUUGGUGAGGUAAAGGCUCACCAAGCCGACGAUCUGUAGCUGGUCUGAGAGGACGACCAGCCACACUGGGACUGAGACACGGCCCAGACUCCUACGGGAGGCAGCAGUGGGGAAUUUUGGACAAUGGGCGCAAGCCUGAUCCAGCAAUGCCGCGUGCAGGAUGAAGGCCUUCGGGUUGUAAACUGCUUUUGUACGGAACGAAACGGUGAGCUCUAAUACAGUUUGCUAAUGACGGUACCGUAAGAAUAAGCACCGGCUAACUACGUGCCAGCCGCCGCAGUAA
This 500-nucleotide ribosomal RNA is filed under the name uncultured bacterium. Its description in RNAcentral is "partial 16S ribosomal RNA". It matches the Rfam family "Bacterial small subunit ribosomal RNA", at positions 30 to 523 of the family's 1533-position model. The record is from RNAcentral.